UUGACAUACACCGGUAACGCCCAGAGAUGGUGCCCCUUUGUGGUCGGUGUACAGGUGGUGCAUGGUUGUCGUCAGCUCGUGUCGUGAGAUGUUGGGUUAAGUCCCGCAACGAGCGCAACCCUCGUCCUAUGUUGCCAGCGGGUCAUGCCGGGGACUCAUGGGAGACUGCCGGGGUCAACUCGGAGGAAGUGGGAUGACGUCAAAUCAUCAUGCCCCUUAUGUCUUGGGCUUCACGCAUGCUACAAUGGCCGGUACAAAGGGCUGCGAUACCGCGAGGUGGAGCGAAUCCCAGAAAGCCGGUCUCAGUUCGGAUUGGGGUCUGCAAUUCGCCUGCAUGAAGUCGGAAUCGCUAGUAAUCGCAGGUCAGCAUACUGCGGUGAAUACGUUCCCGGCCUU
This 396-nucleotide ribosomal RNA is filed under the name uncultured Cellulomonas sp. Its description in RNAcentral is "bacterial SSU rRNA". It matches the Rfam family "Bacterial small subunit ribosomal RNA", at positions 981 to 1381 of the family's 1533-position model. Lineage: Bacteria; Bacillati; Actinomycetota; Actinomycetes; Micrococcales; Cellulomonadaceae. The record is from RNAcentral.